UACAGAGGGCGCAAGCGUUGUUCGGAUUUACUGGGCGUAAAGGGCGUGUAGGCGGAUGUACAAGUCGGGGGUGAAAGGCCAGGGCUUAACCCGGGACGGUCUCCCGAAACUGUGCAUCUAGAGAAAGUCAGAGGCAGGUGGAAUUCCAGGUGUAGAGGUGAAAUUCGUAGAGAUCUGGAGGAACACCGGCGGCGAAGGCGGCCUGCUGGGGCUUUUCUGACGCUGAGGCGCGAAAGCGUGGGUAGCAAACAGG
Molecule: unclassified non-coding RNA, 253 nt
Filed under: uncultured delta proteobacterium
Lineage: Bacteria; Deltaproteobacteria
Description: contains 16S-23S intergenic spacer region
Rfam family: Bacterial small subunit ribosomal RNA
Source: RNAcentral